CACUUUCAGCAACGGAUCUCUUGGCUCUCGCAU
This 33-nucleotide ribosomal RNA is filed under the name uncultured fungus. RNAcentral describes it as "partial 5.8S ribosomal RNA". The record is from RNAcentral. Lineage: Eukaryota; Fungi.